Long non-coding RNA from Bos taurus (domestic cattle), 873 nucleotides. The record is from Ensembl. Lineage: Eukaryota; Metazoa; Chordata; Mammalia; Artiodactyla; Bovidae.
CCUUUGUACAUGGGAUUCUCCAGGCAAAGAUACUGUAGUGGAUUGCCAUGCCCUCCUCCAGGGGAUUUUCUGGACUGGGGGAUCAAACCUGCGUUUCCUGUGGCUCCUGCAUUGCAGGUGAAUUCUUUACCUUUGAGUCACUGGGGAAGCCCCAUAAAGGAUGCUAAAUCCUGAACUUGUGCCUGUCAAUCACUUCAUCUCCACUACACCCUCUUGCUUGUUGGAGAGGGUGGAAAGCUAGGAGGUUGUUUAGUAGCUGGUAGGCCAUAUCCAUCUCAUUCUGGCAGUCAGUCCUGAAGGUCAAGUACUCCCUGAUUCUCCCUCCCUCCAGCCAGUUCAGCAAUUUUUGCCAGCACCCAAUAUCUGUAUUAAAUCUCAAUCUCUCCACAUAUUGAGAGUCUUCACAUUUCCUGUUUGAACCUAAUUCACUUAUUAACAGGCUUCAUUGAUAGAGGCAGUGAAUCCAUGACAAAGCAAGUAUCAGUCUUCAUGUGGUCAGACUGCUUGGAAAGCUGUGGUGUAGCAAAGAAGAAGUGGCCCCCUGGGGAGAGGUUGAAGGCUGUGUCCUGUGAGAAGCAGCUGAAGGAACUGGGAGUGUCCACCCCCUAAAGCUCAAGGAACAGGACUGCACCCUCCAAAUCUCCAAAGGGCAAAAGCAGACAUAGUCUGAGGGGUCCUAGAAGAUGGAGCCAGACCUGUGAGGCAUUUGAACUGAAGAUGGAAGACCCAGUCAAGACCCCGAGAGAGUUGCGGGGAAUGGAAGUUUAAAAAUAAAGCACCCCCUCUCCUGCCUCUCCUGUGAAGAACUAAAGAGCCUCUUGAUGAAAGUGAAAGAUGAGAGUGAAAAAGUUGGCUUAAAGCUCAACGUUCAGA